MicroRNA precursor from Chlorocebus sabaeus (green monkey), 56 nucleotides. NCBI's taxonomy places the organism in Eukaryota, Metazoa, Chordata, Mammalia, Primates, Cercopithecidae. The record is from Ensembl.
AUGCUGUGUGUCCUCAAGCUGGCUUCCCAGAUGCCGCUGGAGAACACCACGGUUCA